This 204-nucleotide long non-coding RNA is filed under the name Gossypium raimondii (Peruvian cotton). Its description in RNAcentral is "long non-coding RNA (GRAI_LNC005571)". The record is from RNAcentral. Lineage: Eukaryota; Viridiplantae; Streptophyta; Magnoliopsida; Malvales; Malvaceae.
UUUUUUUACCUAUUUUGUUUCUAUUUCUCCUUUUCUAUCUUUUAUUUCUUUCAUUUAAUUAGUUUAAUAUAAUAACAAUAAAAUGGUAAUAUAAUAUUAUUUACUUAAAUGAUAAGUAAAUAUGUAAUAAAGCCUAAGAUCCAACUCCUUCUAGGUAAGGAGAUACUUGAGGCUCUUGUGAUAAGUGUAGAUAAUACACCUCUC